UACGUAGGGAGCAAGCGUUGUCCGGAAUUAUUGGGCGUAAAGAGCUCGUAGGCGGUGUGUCACGUCGGCCGUGAAAACCUGCAGCUUAACUGUGGGCGUGCGGUCGAUACGGGCAUCACUGGAGUUCGGCAGGGGAGACUGGAAUUCCUGGUGUAGCGGUGAAAUGCGCAGAUAUCAGGAGGAACACCAAUGGCGAAGGCAGCUCGCUGGGACGGUACUGACGCUGGAGACGCGAAAGCGUGGGGAGCGAACAGG
This 255-nucleotide ribosomal RNA is filed under the name uncultured bacterium. Its description in RNAcentral is "partial 16S ribosomal RNA". It matches the Rfam family "Bacterial small subunit ribosomal RNA", at positions 524 to 776 of the family's 1533-position model. The record is from RNAcentral.